AGCCACAGCAAACGUCAGCUAAGGAGGAAGACGAGAAGUGCUGAAAGAGCGGCUUUGAUUGGUCCUUCAUAAAUUUCUUAACUGAAUCCCUACUUGUGAUUCGUCCAAAGUAGACCAAAGCCCGGGUGAAGGUGACAGAAAGCGAGGGGUGAGCCCUGGUGAGGAACCUGAGAGCCAGGAAAAGAAACCCAGAAACCAGAGGAAGAAGCUGUUUUCCUAAGAUCUCUGACACUAUAAAAAGGAAACUCAGGAACAUGCUCUAGAAUGGUGUUGCCUCAUUAGUGACGUGAAUGGUACCCCACCCCCAAGAUACCCUAACUUUCAGCAUCUGUACAUGUGACUUAUUUGGCAAAAGGAUCUUUGCACGUGGGAUUAAACCUUAAAUCUGGUGACAAUGGGCAGACAGAAGUCAGAGAAAAGAAAUGUCAUGUGGAGGUGACAGUUACUGGAGGCACAAGCCAGGGAAUCUCUGAAGUCACCAGAAACUGGAAGACCCAAGGAAGCAUCCUCCCUUGGAUCCUGUAGGGGGCGCGUGGCUACCUGGACACCUCUAUUUUAGACCUGCCGUCUCAAGAACUAAAAGAAGGAAUUCCUGUUGUGAGCCACAACUAGGAAACCAACACUAACUUGCCUCUUGAAUGGCUCAGAUGUUAUACCUGUCUGAUUGCCAUGACUAAGCAGGCCAGGAUGGCUGGCAUGGUGCUGGGAGUGGGUGCUGGCGUGUUCCUCCUCGCUUUGAUCUGGGUGUUGGUGCUGCUGCUGUGUGUGCUGUUAUCCAGAGCCUCUGGGAUAGCCAGGUUCUCCAUCGUCUUUGUCUUCCUUGGUGCUCUAAUCAUUACUACAGUCCUAUUGCUUUUCCCUCGAGCCAGUGAAUUCCCAGCCCCAGAAGGUGAAAUGAAGAUUGUGGAUGCCUUUUUCAUCGGCCGCUAUGUCCUGCUGGCUUUCCUGAGUGCUGUCUUUCUCGGAGGCCUCUUCCUACUUCUUACUCAUCAUGUGCUGGAGCCAAUCUAUGCCAAACCACUGAGGUCCUGCUGAGCACGGCAAUGGAAACACGGGACAUGUUGACAUCAUGGAUGAGCGCAAAGGCAAUCUCUGGAGCGUUGACCACUUUCAUGUCUUCAGACCAGAGGAAGAACCAUUUGUUGCUAAGGCAAACCUCCUGAGCCCUGGCCUCCAGAAACUCAGUAGCAGAGCAGAGUCCAUGGGUGUAAAUUGUCACCAUCAAGACAGGGACAAGAGCAGCGAGUGUGACUUAUCUCCCUUCACACCGAUCCUAUGCCUCGAGCAAUGUUAUUCCCCUGUUCUAGACGAGGAAACAGGAAGAAUGUGGUAAGUAACGAGGCUCGGAUGGAGACUUCCAGGAACCACUCCUUCCACAUUGACCUCCCAAGAGGGAGUCAGGAAAACACCAUCUUCCUCCUCUGAAACGGAAUGGCAACACCUGCUUGCACUGGACUCUACCGCCAUCUAGUGGCCUACAGAAGUAACACAGCUUUGCCUUCAAGUCUGUCCUUUCCACGUAAUGUCAGUCUUUCUGGUCUUGAGAUAUUUGUGAACACCAAGCAGACUACUGUGUGUCAGCCCCUGCCCUGUACAAGGUCCUGAGUAUAAGAUGUUCCUGACUGACUGCUUCCUGCAGAACCAAAGUGAGGCUCAGGCAGGUGAGCUUCAUAUUUUAUUGCUGAGACCAGUGUAUCUAGCUAACACACUGACACAACAUUCUAGUAAAUGCAAUGUAUGUGUCUUCUAUGGGGGUCUAGGCUCCUGCUGUAUUGCAUUGUAUUGAUCAAUGUCAUGAUCAAUGCCCUCUGGG
This is an RNA transcript of Mastomys coucha (southern multimammate mouse), 1813 nucleotides long. It is a transcript of the gene named transmembrane protein 218, with no coding region annotated. Lineage: Eukaryota; Metazoa; Chordata; Mammalia; Rodentia; Muridae. The record is from RefSeq and is a predicted model, not a curated record. The transcript is spliced from 6 exons.